Molecule: ribosomal RNA, 489 nt
Filed under: uncultured bacterium
Lineage: Bacteria
Description: partial 16S ribosomal RNA
Rfam family: Bacterial small subunit ribosomal RNA
Source: RNAcentral
GAUGAACGCUAGCUACAGGCUUAACACAUGCAAGUCGAGGGGCAGCAUGAUUGAAGCUUGCUUCAAUCGAUGGCGACCGGCGCACGGGUGAGUAACACGUAUCCAACCUGCCGAUAACUCGGGGAUAGCCUUUCGAAAGAAAGAUUAAUACCCGAUAGUAUAGUAUUUCCGCAUGGUUUCACUAUUAAAGAACUUCGGUUAUCGAUGGGGAUGCGUUCCAUUAGAUAGUUGGCGGGGUAACGGCCCACCAAGUCAACGAUGGAUAGGGGUUCUGAGAGGAAGGUCCCCCACAUUGGAACUGAGACACGGUCCAAACUCCUACGGGAGGCAGCAGUGUGGAAUAUUGGUCAAUGGACGAGAGUCUGAACCAGCCAAGUAGCGUGAAGGAUGACUGCCCUAUGGGUUGUAAACUUCUUUUAUACGGGAAUAAAGUGGAGUAUGCAUACUCCUUUGUAUGUACCGUAUGAAUAAGGAUCGGCUAACUCCGUG